GUCCCGUUGGCGUAGUGGAUUAACGCACUGGACUUCUAAUCCAGGGAUCAUGGGUUCGAAUCCCAUACGGGACG
This 74-nucleotide transfer RNA is filed under the name Gonium pectorale. It matches the Rfam family "tRNA". From Rfam's summary of the family: Transfer RNA (tRNA) molecules are approximately 80 nucleotides in length. Their secondary structure includes four short double-helical elements and three loops (D, anti-codon, and T loops). Lineage: Eukaryota; Viridiplantae; Chlorophyta; Chlorophyceae; Chlamydomonadales; Volvocaceae. The record is from Rfam by way of RNAcentral.